CAGCAGAUUGACAUAUUUUGGUCACUCCCUUUAUACCUAGGUAGUUCUGCAUAUAUUUUGGAUCUCCGACACAUGUUUUUGAUAUACCAAUGGGUCAUUACAGGUUGGGAUUGUUUUUUGUGAACUUAUAUUUUUUUCCUUUUUCUUCAGAAUAUGGUUUUCCAAUGCUAGCAGAAUUCCAUAGAUUAUAUAUAUCUUAAGAGCCCAUUACUAGCCGUUACCUCCAUGGACAAUGCUACCUGCCAAUACUAAUUCUUCACGAAUAAAUAGGGUGAACAAAAAUAUGUGCAAUCUUACCAUACAAGAUGGUUAAGAUGCCAGAUGCUCUCUCAUUUUUACCCUUACUGUUUACUUUGCUAAGCCAACUCUUCACUUUUGGUUUUUCCUAAAAGGAAUCUGGCAGAUCAUGAUGUUUAAAUUUCUACCACAAAACGUCAGGUGCUAAUUCUCUCUUCUCUUACACCGUAUUACUUUCCUUUUUUACACAAUAAUUAUCUGCUUGCUACCCUCUUAUUGUUUUCCAUCAUCUCCUCUUCUAACACUUGCACUCGAGAAUGCCUCUAAAGCCUCACAUCACUCUUCCAUCAGUUGUACCAAGAAGACACAUCAUACACAUGCACGCAAUGAGUCAUCUCAUGUAUUCUACAAAUCCAAAAUCAUGGAGAACUAUCAGAAGCAAAUUUCAGGGAGAAAACAUCAGCAACCAACUGCCCGUGAACAUCACAUUAUCACUGUUGGCUACAUCAAAAAGGGUGAAUGCCACCUCCAAGCCAUUUUCAAGAACGAGGACCCCAGCAAUUUUCAUGACACAUGGCUCAUUACUACAUAUACUAUACGAAGUGAUUGCAUUGAAUAUAAUUUCUGUACCCUAUGUACUUCUUAAAUUUUCGGUCUCAACUUAACACCCCUGUAUUUUUGCACUACUAACAUACUAUGGUUCUAUACAAAUAUCAGGGUAUUUCAUUCUUUGUUUCA
This 975-nucleotide long non-coding RNA is filed under the name Triticum aestivum (bread wheat). Its description in RNAcentral is "long non-coding RNA (TAES_LNC011795)". Lineage: Eukaryota; Viridiplantae; Streptophyta; Magnoliopsida; Poales; Poaceae. The record is from RNAcentral.